RNAcentral lists this ribosomal RNA (495 nucleotides) under uncultured bacterium. RNAcentral's name for it is "bacterial SSU rRNA". It matches the Rfam family "Bacterial small subunit ribosomal RNA", at positions 903 to 1397 of the family's 1533-position model. The record is from RNAcentral.
AAAGGAAUUGACGGGGACCCGCACAAGCAGCGGAGCAUGUGGUUUAAUUCGAAGCAACGCGAAGAACCUUACCAGGGCUUGACAUGCCACUGACCGCAUCAGAGAUGGUGCUUUACCUUCGGGUACAGUGGACACAGGUGGUGCAUGGUUGUCGUCAGCUCGUGUCGUGAGAUGUUGGGUUAAGUCCCGCAACGAGCGCAACCCCUGUUUCUAGUUGCCAGCAUUAAGUUGGGCACUCUAGAGAGACUGCCGAUGACAAAUCGGAGGAAGGUGGGGAUGACGUCAAAUCAUCAUGCCCUUUAUGCCCUGGGCUACACACGUGCUACAAUGGUCGGUACAACGAGGAGCAAACCAGUGAUGGCAAGCAAAUCUCUAAAAGCCGAUCCCAGUUCGGAUUGUAGGCUGCAACUCGCCUACAUGAAGUCGGAGUUGCUAGUAAUCGCGGAUCAGAAUGUCGCGGUGAAUGCGUUCCCGGGUCUUGUACACACCGCCCGU